UACGUAGGGACCGAGCGUUGUCCGGAUUUAUUGGGCGUAAAGAGCUUGUAGGCGGUUUGUCGCGUCUGCUGUGAAAUUUCGGGGCUCAACCCCGAACUUGCAGUGGGUACGGGCAGACUAGAGUGUGGUAGGGGAGACUGGAAUUCCUGGUGUAGCGGUGAAAUGCGCAGAUAUCAGGAGGAACACCGAUGGCGAAGGCAGGUCUCUGGGCCAUAACUGACGCUGAGAAGCGAAAGCAUGGGGAGCGAACAGG
This 253-nucleotide ribosomal RNA is filed under the name uncultured bacterium. Its description in RNAcentral is "partial 16S ribosomal RNA". It matches the Rfam family "Bacterial small subunit ribosomal RNA", at positions 524 to 776 of the family's 1533-position model. The record is from RNAcentral.